AUGGAGAGUUUGAUCCUGGCUCAGGAUGAACGCUGGCGGUAUGCUUAACACAUGCAAGUCGAACGGUCUCUUCGGAGAUAGUGGCGGACGGGUGAGUAACGCGUGAGAACAUGCCUUUAGAUUGGGGACAACAGUUGGAAACGACUGCUAAUACCGAAUGUGCCUUAGGGUGAAAGAUUUAUUGUCUAGAGAUUGGCUCGCGUCAGAUUAGCUAGUUGGAGUGGUAACGGCACACCAAGGCGACGAUCUGUACUUGGUCUGAGAGGAUGACCAGGCACACUGGAACUGAGACACGGUCCAGACUCCUACGGGAGGCAGCAGUGGGGAAUUUUCCGCAAUGGGCGAAAGCCUGACGGAGCAAUACCGCGUGAGGGAGGACGGCUUUUGGGUUGUAAACCUCUUUUAUCAGGGAAGAAUCGAUGACGGUACCUGAUGAAUCAGCAUCGGCUAACUCCGUGCCAGCAGCCGCGGUAAUACGGAGGAUGCAAGCGUUAUCCGGAAUUAUUGGGCGUAAAGCGUCCGUAGGUGGUUUAUCAAGUCUGCUGUCAAAGCGUGCGGCUUAACCGCAUAAGGGCAGUGGAAACUGAUGAACUAGAGUGCGAUAGGGGUAACAGGAAUUCCCAGUGUAGCGGUGAAAUGCGUAGAUAUUGGGAAGAACACCAGCGGCGAAAGCGUGUUACUGGGUCUGCACUGACACUGAGGGACGAAAGCUAGGGGAGCGAAAGGGAUUAGAUACCCCUGUAGUCCUAGCCGUAAACGAUGACAACUAGGCGUGGUUCGUAUCGACCCGAGCCGUGCCGUAGCCAACGCGUUAAGUUGUCCGCCUGGGGAGUACGCACGCAAGUGUGAAACUCAAAGGAAUUGACGGGGGCCCGCACAAGCGGUGGAGUAUGUGGUUUAAUUCGAUGCAACGCGAAGAACCUUACCAAGGCUUGACAUCCUCGGAACCCUGAUGAAAGUUAGGGGUGCCUUCGGGAGCCGAGAGACAGGUGGUGCAUGGCUGUCGUCAGCUCGUGUCGUGAGAUGUUGGGUUAAGUCCCGCAACGAGCGCAACCCACGUUUUUAGUUGCCAGCAUUCAGUUGGGCACUCUAGAGAGACUGCCGGUGACAAACCGGAGGAAGGUGUGGAUGACGUCAAGUCAGCAUGCCCCAUACGCCUUGGGCUACACACGUACUACAAUGCGUCGGACAAAGAGCAGCCAGCCAGCGAUGGUGAGCCAAUCUCAUAAACCGACGCUCAGUUCAGAUUGCAGGCUGCAACUCGCCUGCAUGAAGGCGGAAUCGCUAGUAAUCGCAGGUCAGCAUACUGCGGUGAAUACGUUCCCGGGCCUUGUACACACCGCCCGUCACACCAUGGGAGUUGGUCACGCCCGAAGUCGUUACUCUAACUGCUUGCAGAGGAGGACGCCGAAGGUGGGGCUGAUGACUGGGGUGAAGUCGUAACAAGGUAGCCGUACCGGAAGGUGUGGCUGGAUCACCUCCUUA
RNAcentral lists this ribosomal RNA (1485 nucleotides) under Leptolyngbya sp. FACHB-1624. Its description in RNAcentral is "bacterial SSU rRNA". It matches the Rfam family "Bacterial small subunit ribosomal RNA". Lineage: Bacteria; Bacillati; Cyanobacteriota; Cyanophyceae; Leptolyngbyales; Leptolyngbyaceae. The record is from RNAcentral.